Nycticebus coucang (slow loris) is the source of this 1780-nucleotide long non-coding RNA. RefSeq lists it as uncharacterized. Lineage: Eukaryota; Metazoa; Chordata; Mammalia; Primates; Lorisidae. The record is from RefSeq and is a predicted model, not a curated record. The transcript has 5 exons.
ACGCGCGGCCCCGCGGCGCGCCGGGUUGAGAGAACAUCUGUCUGAGCGGAUGAGGCACCGCCACCGCCUCAGCGCUACGCCCUCGGGACGCCAGGGCUCCAAGAGUGCAACUGCAAUGUGGAUCUUCCUGGGAUGGGAUAGGAAGAGAGACUGGAGGAGAUGACACUGACCCGCGUCUUGAAGGGGCAGAUCUACAAAGUUGGAAAGAAGAGGAAACACCAAAAAUAACUUUCCCCAAGUAGAGAGAACCAAACACAUAUGGGAAGAUGGAAAUAGUUUUAGAUGGCCCAAAUAACACCGUGAUGUGAAAAGAACUCCCCAAAGCAGAGGGAAGGAUUAGAAAAAGCCACAGAAAUUGACUCAAGAUGUUACGGGAAUGACUGGCUGUGACAGUUGGGGCAUGCAGCAGACCCUGAAGUGGGGGGCUGAGGCCUUGCAGCUUUUUGUAUAGAAGUUGAGGGGAUGGCUCUGAAAACAUUCAUAUCUGAUCUUUUUCGUGGAGAUUGCAUUUUUUUCUUGGAAAGUCAGAAAUUCUGGCUCUCUUCUAGAAAUUCUAGGGAGGGGAAAGGAGCAGAAUCAUACAUUACAUGAAACCCAGAGACAAAUGACUCAGCCAUUUCUGCUCCCCUGGCAGGAGUUUUGUUUUUUCUCUGGCAUGUGGGGACGAGCCACCUGUGGGCUGAGGCUGCGGCGAGGCCACAGGGGCCGUUGAGAUUAGGCUGAGAGCCUCAGCUCUCUGGGCCCCGGGCCCCAGGCCAACUGACCAGCUGGCCGCCCUGCCUGGGACUUUUGGGCAGCUAUCAGCCAGCUGGACAGGUGCUUGGUGCCAGGGCUGCCUUCCUUUGCAGGAGAGUCAAUGCUGAUGGCCAGAAGGAACACAGCCCCACCAAGACAGGAACUGAUCUGACCUGGAGAGCUGCUCUUCCACACCGCACCAGCUUUCCUUUUGUUACUGACAAGCUUCUGUGUCCUCUUAUGAUCGCAUAUAUUCAAGUUUCUCACCCCUCUUUCCUAUGCUCAGAGCAGUUGUGGAUUGAGUGUGCCCUGUGGGAGCAGUGGUGGCUACCACACUGAGCUGCGCUGACCUGGUCAGUCCCCAGUGUUCUGAGCCGUGGUGUGCUCCACUACCGGACACCUCUCCAGGGCCCAUAUGGCUGGCUGGCCUGUGUAUGUCCCCCACAACAGGCAUUCUCAGAUCCCACCUUGGGAAACACUAACUCAGAAUCAACAAUUGAAAUGGAACAACAAAUUGAAGCAGCUACAGUUUCACCACUUAAACGAGUGAAUGGACAGACCUUUGUUGAGUAUCCGCCACAAGUGAGAAGCUGUGUGUACAAAAGCAGCACAGUAGAGGAUGCUGUCCUCAUGGAGGGGUCACUUCCAAAGGUCUGCUCGGCCCUGUCCCCUCACUCAGGCCAUGUGUACAUGUGCUGCUGCUGACUCUGCCAGGGCAGGUGGUGGACAUCUGGCCACAGGGCUUCCUACAGCAUUCCCAGCCUGGACAGCUGGGAGACUCCUUUCAGAAGAACCUUGGGGGAACUAAGACUAUACCUUUUAUUUAAUCUUGGCACUUUCUGUUUCAUAAUAAAAACAUAUGUUUAACAGCAAUGUAUACUGUUAAUCUUGUGAUUAGUUUCUUAACCCUCAACCAUGUUUUGUACUUUAUUUUGUUACAUUAUAUACUUGUAAUGUAUACUUUGAAAUCUUUUGUUUUAAUGUCUUUUUAAAAAAUUUGGAAUGUUCUAAACUUGAAAGGCAAUUGAAUAUAGUAUGUUGAAAA